RNAcentral lists this ribosomal RNA (1165 nucleotides) under Bacillus safensis. Its description in RNAcentral is "bacterial SSU rRNA". It matches the Rfam family "Bacterial small subunit ribosomal RNA", at positions 49 to 1191 of the family's 1533-position model. Lineage: Bacteria; Bacillati; Bacillota; Bacilli; Caryophanales; Bacillaceae. The record is from RNAcentral.
CUAUACAUGCAAGUCGAGCGGACAGAAGGGAGCUUGCUCCCGGAUGUUAGCGGCGGACGGGUGAGUAACACGUGGGUAACCUGCCUGUAAGACUGGGAUAACUCCGGGAAACCGGAGCUAAUACCGGAUAGUUCCUUGAACCGCAUGGUUCAAGGAUGAAAGACGGUUUCGGCUGUCACUUACAGAUGGACCCGCGGCGCAUUAGCUAGUUGGUGGGGUAAUGGCUCACCAAGGCGACGAUGCGUAGCCGACCUGAGAGGGUGAUCGGCCACACUGGGACUGAGACACGGCCCAGACUCCUACGGGAGGCAGCAGUAGGGAAUCUUCCGCAAUGGACGAAAGUCUGACGGAGCAACGCCGCGUGAGUGAUGAAGGUUUUCGGAUCGUAAAGCUCUGUUGUUAGGGAAGAACAAGUGCGAGAGUAACUGCUCGCACCUUGACGGUACCUAACCAGAAAGCCACGGCUAACUACGUGCCAGCAGCCGCGGUAAUACGUAGGUGGCAAGCGUUGUCCGGAAUUAUUGGGCGUAAAGGGCUCGCAGGCGGUUUCUUAAGUCUGAUGUGAAAGCCCCCGGCUCAACCGGGGAGGGUCAUUGGAAACUGGGAAACUUGAGUGCAGAAGAGGAGAGUGGAAUUCCACGUGUAGCGGUGAAAUGCGUAGAGAUGUGGAGGAACACCAGUGGCGAAGGCGACUCUCUGGUCUGUAACUGACGCUGAGGAGCGAAAGCGUGGGGAGCGAACAGGAUUAGAUACCCUGGUAGUCCACGCCGUAAACGAUGAGUGCUAAGUGUUAGGGGGUUUCCGCCCCUUAGUGCUGCAGCUAACGCAUUAAGCACUCCGCCUGGGGAGUACGGUCGCAAGACUGAAACUCAAAGGAAUUGACGGGGGCCCGCACAAGCGGUGGAGCAUGUGGUUUAAUUCGAAGCAACGCGAAGAACCUUACCAGGUCUUGACAUCCUCUGACAACCCUAGAGAUAGGGCUUUCCCUUCGGGGACAGAGUGACAGGUGGUGCAUGGUUGUCGUCAGCUCGUGUCGUGAGAUGUUGGGUUAAGUCCCGCAACGAGCGCAACCNUUGAUCUUANUUGCCAGCAUUNCAUUNGGGCACNCUAAGGNUGACUGCCGGGUGACAAACCCGGAAGAAAGGUGGGGGAUAGACGUCGAAUC